GACGAACGCUGGCGGCGUGCUUAACACAUGCAAGUCGAACGGAAAGGCCCUGCUUUUGUGGGGUGCUCGAGUGGCGAACGGGUGAGUAACACGUGAGUAACCUGCCCUUGACUUUGGGAUAACUUCAGGAAACUGGGGCUAAUACCGGAUAGGAGCUCCUGCUGCAUGGUGGGGGUUGGAAAGUUUCGGCGGUUGGGGAUGGACUCGCGGCUUAUCAGCUUGUUGGUGGGGUAGUGGCUUACCAAGGCUUUGACGGGUAGCCGGCCUGAGAGGGUGACCGGCCACAUUGGGACUGAGAUACGGCCCAGACUCCUACGGGAGGCAGCAGUGGGGAAUAUUGCACAAUGGGCGGAAGCCUGAUGCAGCAACGCCGCGUGCGGGAUGACGGCCUUCGGGUUGCAAACCGCUUUCGCCUGUGACGAAGCGUGAGUGACGGUAAUGGGUAAAGAAGCACCGGCCAACUACGUG
This 468-nucleotide ribosomal RNA is filed under the name uncultured bacterium. RNAcentral describes it as "partial 16S ribosomal RNA". It matches the Rfam family "Bacterial small subunit ribosomal RNA", at positions 28 to 507 of the family's 1533-position model. The record is from RNAcentral.